GCGACCCCAGGUCAGGCGGGAUCACCCGCUGAGUUUAAGCAUAUCAAUAAGCGGAGGAGAAGAAACUUACAAGGAUUCCCCUAGUAACGGCGAGCGAAC
RNAcentral lists this ribosomal RNA (99 nucleotides) under Streptocarpus longiflorus. Its description in RNAcentral is "partial 28S ribosomal RNA". It matches the Rfam family "Eukaryotic large subunit ribosomal RNA", at positions 1 to 98 of the family's 3401-position model. Lineage: Eukaryota; Viridiplantae; Streptophyta; Magnoliopsida; Lamiales; Gesneriaceae. The record is from RNAcentral.